Molecule: ribosomal RNA, 497 nt
Filed under: uncultured bacterium
Lineage: Bacteria
Description: partial 16S ribosomal RNA
Rfam family: Bacterial small subunit ribosomal RNA
Source: RNAcentral
GACGAACGCUGGCGGCGUGCCUAAUACAUGCAAGUAGAACGCUGAAGAGAGGAGCUUACUCUUCUUGGAUGAGUUGCGAACGGGUGAGUAACGCGUAGGUAACCUGCCUUGUAGCGGGGGAUAACUAUUGGAAACGAUAGCUAAUACCGCAUAACAAUGGAUGACACAUGUCAUUUAUUUGAAAGGGGCAAUUGCUCCACUACAAGAUGGACCUGCGUUGUAUUAGCUAGUAGGUGAGGUAAUGGCUCACCUAGGCGACGAUACAUAGCCGACCUGAGAGGGUGAUCGGCCACACUGGGACUGAGACACGGCCCAGACUCCUACGGGAGGCAGCAGUAGGGAAUCUUCGGCAAUUGGGGCAACCCUGACCGAGCAACGCCGCGUGAGUGAAGAAGGUUUUCGGAUCGUAAAGCUCUGUUGUAAGUCAAGAACGGGUGUGAGAGUGGAAAGUUCACACUGUGACGGUAGCUUACCAGAAAGGGACGGCUAACUACGUG